GGCGGGACCGAUCGGCGGAGGCGGCACCGCGGCCCGGCCUCGCCUCACGGAGCCGCCCGCGCCCUGCCGUGCCUGGCGCUUCAGUCUUGCAGGCCCAAAGGAUUUUCUUCAUGCCAAAACUUGCCCUGUGCCUCUUUACUAAAGCUGCAACACUUAGCAGGAGGAGAGAGGCCUUGGAGUUUUAUUGUGCUUGCAAGCCCGGAUUACAUCGAUCACAUUGACUGGUCACGACAACUUUACUCAUGCAAUCACCAGCUGAACAUCAGAGGCUCUUUGGGACCCAUGAGAGAGUAACACAGCCCCUUCCACCAACUAAACAUGGUGGCACAGGAUACUGAUUUUGCUACUCCAGUAAUAAAGUAUGUCUCAGCAUUAGGAUUGAUUUUGUUUUUUAUGAGGAGUUUUAAAACUAUUUCCAAAGAUAACUGUCCAAUGAGGUAAUUUUUACACUAACCCUUUUCUGGAAUUUGCUGGGCUGGAAAGUGACUUCUUCAGUGCAGCACAGCCAUCUUUGUUUAUUAGACUCUUAACUAUUACUAUACUUGUAUUUAUUAUACUUUUAUUAUUUAAAAAGGAAAAAAGCCCAAACAUCUCCAAGAGCUAUUUCUUUCCAAGGAUUUGUGUCCCAUGCUUCUUCAACUUGGUCUAAGAGGGCAGAAGUUCCAAUAUGAGCUUUUGCUGCACUCUGGGUGUUUUAGGUUGUCUUCCUACACAAACUGUUUGGCAUUUAAUAAGGCUGGGAGCUUUUCCUCAGUGCAUGAGUUUCUCCCUCCUUCCCCACACUUAUUUUUACACUGCUGAUCGAAGUAAAUUUCCUUUCAACAGGUUCAAAAUCUAUUAGAGACAGGCCUACAGCAUGAUCAUAGAAACCUCCUGUGUGUAAGAACAAAUCUAUUUCUCCCCCUGCUCCACCAUGCCUUCAGCAGCCUCAUUUGCUGGUGUCUUCGUUAAAGGGCACAUCACAGAUCACCAAGUUUGGCUACUCAGUUUUGUUUUGAAACCAAGUGAAAGACCUGACCAAGCUUGCUUACAGAUUAACAAACUUCAUGCUUAACUUGGGGAAAAUAAGAACAGAAUGCUCCUGAAAAGGUAGGAAACAUCCUUAAAAGUACUUCAGCGUAAAUCUUGCGUCAUACAGGGCUCCAAAGAACGCACCAGCAACCUUGUGCUGACAUAUACUUGACCUUUGUUGUGAGCACACAAUUGCAACAUCCUGAAUGUCUCUAGCUAAAGUUUUCCCAGCAGGUUUUCCAGCUUGCUUGCACAUAUACUGAGCAGCAGUGUAAAUAUAACUUAUACAUUAACAUCUAGCCUGUAAGCAUGUGAUGCCUCAUUUGAUUUUCAUGAUCGCACCAUCAAACAUGGAUUUAAAAAGUCCAGCUUUGGAAUACAGCAGUUGUACUUUUCAUUUUACUUACACCAGGACCAAUCCGUAAAUUAAGCCACAUGCAGAUGAAGAAAAAAAAAGUAUUGUGUAUUUAGGAAACUUCCUUUAAAACAAAUUAUUUUAUCUCAGUCCAAACAUCCACAAUAGCAGGAAGCUGGAUCAUAGCAUGUUUACAGUUGUAUAAUAGCUCCAAAAACACUAAAGCAUCCUCCCACUGUAUUAAGAGCCUUUAAAAGAUGAAAAAUAAGUUUAGUACAAAGUCUCUUGACUGAAUUAACCUAAGACAAAUUAUUUGGGCACAUAUGGUGUAUAUUAUUUAAAAACAGAUUAAACAGUGUUUUGGGGUUUUUUUCAAACAUGAAAUUAUUCUAUAAACAUUCUUACUUUUCUGAUGAAUCAAUGCUCAAAAUUUGGCCAGAAGACAAGUCAGUUCCCAUGUCAUGGAAGCUCUCAAGGGGAUCUAGGGGGAGAUUUUCCAGCCUUGUUUUUUCUGUGUUACUCCCUUUUUUUUCUGUCCUGUAUUUUUUCUUGCAUACAGCUUCAAAAGAGCAAGUACAUCUUACUCAUCUUAUACACCCUAUUCUGCACUCUCCCCUCGAAAACCUGGCAUUACAAGGAUCCAAAUUGUAUUACAAAAAAAUAAAAUCAAUCUUUCUUUAAGAAUAGCAGUUUUAAGUGUAAAUGGCACGAUACAGAGUGGUAUUGGUGAUAUUUGAGCGAGCCCCAGAUUACCUGGCAAAGCUCAGUGGCACAGGCUGGCAGAAGCACCACGAUGGGGAACAAAGGGAAUGGCAAAGUCCUGCAGGUAGUGAACCCUCCUGGCCCUCAGCUGGGUCAGCCUGACUCAUGGCAUAUGUUGGAUGAUGCCCAUCAUUUGACAAAUAUGCAGGACAGGGAUUUCAGACAUUAACAACAUGUUAGUUCACCUUUGGGUCUCCACUCUGAUCAUAUGUAUUGUGGAAAUGCCUAUUUAGAGUUUCAGCAAGCAGCAUAGUAUUGCCUUUAAUUGAAAAGGGACAGAAAAGCAGGUUUUUCUGUUCAUAUUUCAUUUCUCAGCCAUGGAUUCUAGCUUUAGAAACACCACUUCAAGUAAAAUGCAUUAAUUUUAACUGUAGUCCCCUCUUCUUAAAAAUAAUCCAGUAGUAAACUGGAAUCCAGAAGAAAACACAAGACUUUUAGACAAACAGGUUUAUAAGGUUUAUUGUCCAUUGCACAUACAUGGAUUAUAUACAAGUUAGUAACAUAAGUUACUUCUUAAUUUUCUAGAAGAUUGUUACAGCAAAUGCCAUUUUAAAACAUCUACUCAGAAAUCAAUCUCAAAAAGGUAAAUAUGACAAUAUUUUAAGAACAAAACAAAUUGCACUUGGUUAGGAGAGUCAAAUACAGGUUUGUCUAUAUGCUGUAACAAACUAUAUAGCAGGUAAUAUUACAGUUAGAAGUAGCUCUUGCAGUCCAUUUGUACAUUAAUAAUUUUUUUCAAUUUUACUUAUUUAAAAACUGGUGAAUAUUUCAAAGAUUUCUUCUUCCUAGUAUUUGAGAUUCACAUGAAAUGCACUAGCGACUAAGUCUUUAUACAGUUGCUAUU
This is a non-coding RNA of Zonotrichia albicollis (white-throated sparrow), 2972 nucleotides long. The record is from RefSeq and is a predicted model, not a curated record. NCBI's taxonomy places the organism in Eukaryota, Metazoa, Chordata, Aves, Passeriformes, Passerellidae.